UAUUCUAAGGCGCUUGAGAGAACUCAGGAGAAGGAACUCGGCAAAUUGACACCGUAACUUCGGAAGAAGGUGUGCCUUUAGUAGGUGAACCAUUUACUUGGGGAGCCCAAUGAGGCUGCAAAAAAUCGGUGGCCGCAACUGUUUAUUAAAAACACAGCACUCUGCUAAGACGAAAGUCGACGUAUAGGGUGUGACGCCUGCCCGGUGCUGGAAGAUUAAAUGAUGGGGUGCAAGCUCUUGAUUGAAGUCCCAGUAAACGGCGGCCGUAACAAUAACGGUCCUAAGGUAGCGAAAUUCCUUGUCGGGUAAGUUCCGACCUGCACGAAUGGCGUAAUGAUGGCCACACUGUCUCCUCCUGAGACUCAACGAAGUUGAAAUGUUCGUGAUGAUGCAAUCUCCCCGCGGAAAGACGGAAAGACACCAUGAACCUUUACUGUAGCUUUGUAUUGGACUUUGAACAGAUCUGUGUAGGAUAGGUGGGAGGCUUUGAAGUGUGGUCGCUAGAUCGCAUGGAGCCAACGUUGAAAUACCACCCUGGUGUGUUUGAGGUUCUAACCUAGGUCCAUUAUCUGGAUCGGGGACAGUGCAUGGUAGGCAGUUUGACUGGGGCGGUCUCCUCCCAAAGUGUAACGGAGGAGUUCGAAGGUACGCUAGGUACGGUCGGACAUCGUGCUAAUAGUGCAAUGGCAUAAGCGUGCUUAACUGCGAGACUGACAAGUCGAGCAGAUGCGAAAGCAGGACAUAGUGAUCCGGUGGUUCUGUAUGGAAGGGCCAUCGCUCAACGGAUAAAAGGUACUCUGGGGAUAACAGGCUGAUACCGCCCAAGAGUUCAUAUCGACGGCGGUGUUUGGCACCUCGAUGUCGGCUCAUCUCAUCCUGGGGCUGUAGCCGGUCCCAAGGGUAUGGCUGUUCGCCAUUUAAAGAGGUACGUGAGCUGGGUUUAAAACGUCGUGAGACAGUUUGGUCCCUAUCUUCCGUGGGCGCUGCAGAUUUGAGGAAGCCUGCUCCUAGUACGAGAGGACCGGAGUGGACGAACCUCUGGUGUAUCGGUUGUCACGCCAGUGGCAUUGCCGAGUAGCUAAGUUCGGAAGAGAUAACCGCUGAAAGCAUCUAAGCGGGAAACUCGUUUCAAGAUUAGAUCUGCCGGGGCCUUGAGCCCCCUAAAGAGUCGUUCAAGACCAGGACGUUGAUAGGUCAGGUGUGGAAGC
RNAcentral lists this ribosomal RNA (1208 nucleotides) under metagenome. RNAcentral describes it as "bacterial LSU rRNA". It matches the Rfam family "Bacterial large subunit ribosomal RNA", at positions 1677 to 2874 of the family's 2925-position model. The record is from RNAcentral.